GAUGAACGCUAGCUACAGGCUUAACACAUGCAAGUCGAGGGGAAACGGCAUUGCUUGCUUGCUUUUGCUGGGCGUCGACCGGCGCACGGGUGAGCAACGCGUAUCCUACCUGCCCAUCACUCGGGAAUAACCCUGCGAUAGUACGACUAACGCCCAAUGACAUCCAACGAAGGCAUCUGAAUGGUCGUACUGAUUUAUCGGCGAUGGACGGGGAUGCGUCUGAUUAGCUUGUGGGCGAGGUGACGGCCCACCAAGGCACCGAUCAGUAGGGGUUCUGAGAGGAAGGUCCCCCACAUUGGAACUGAGGCACAGACCAAACUCCUACGGGGGGCAGCAGAGAGGAGUAUUAGUCGAUGGACGAGGACCUAAACCAGCCGAGUAGCGUACAAGAUGACGGCCCUAUGAAUUGUAAACUGCUUGUAUAAGAGACUAAGGUGGGUUACGUGUGACUUUUUGAAGGUACCUGAUGAAUAAGGACCGGCUAAUUCCGUG
This 492-nucleotide ribosomal RNA is filed under the name uncultured bacterium. RNAcentral's name for it is "partial 16S ribosomal RNA". It matches the Rfam family "Bacterial small subunit ribosomal RNA", at positions 28 to 507 of the family's 1533-position model. The record is from RNAcentral.